This 541-nucleotide ribosomal RNA is filed under the name Cupriavidus necator. RNAcentral's name for it is "bacterial SSU rRNA". It matches the Rfam family "Bacterial small subunit ribosomal RNA", at positions 531 to 1066 of the family's 1533-position model. Lineage: Bacteria; Pseudomonadati; Pseudomonadota; Betaproteobacteria; Burkholderiales; Burkholderiaceae. The record is from RNAcentral.
GGUGCGAGCGUUAAUCGGAAUUACUGGGCGUAAAGCGUGCGCAGGCGGUUUUGUAAGACAGGCGUGAAAUCCCCGAGCUCAACUUGGGAAUGGCGCUUGUGACUGCAAGGCUAGAGUAUGUCAGAGGGGGGUAGAAUUCCACGUGUAGCAGUGAAAUGCGUAGAGAUGUGGAGGAAUACCGAUGGCGAAGGCAGCCCCCUGGGACGUCACUGACGCUCAUGCACGAAAGCGUGGGGAGCAAACAGGAUUAGAUACCCUGGUAGUCCACGCCCUAAACGAUGUCAACUAGUUGUUGGGGAUUCAUUUCUUCAGUAACGUAGCUAACGCGUGAAGUUGACCGCCUGGGGAGUACGGUCGCAAGAUUAAAACUCAAAGGAAUUGACGGGGACCCGCACAAGCGGUGGAUGAUGUUGGAUUAAUUCGAUGCAACCCGAAAAAACCUUACCUACCCUUGACAUGCCACUAACGAACCAGAAAUGCAUUAGGUGCCCGAAAGGGGAAAAUUGGACACAGGUUCUGCAUGGCUGUCGUCACUCCUGUU